RNAcentral lists this ribosomal RNA (484 nucleotides) under uncultured bacterium. RNAcentral's name for it is "partial 16S ribosomal RNA". It matches the Rfam family "Bacterial small subunit ribosomal RNA", at positions 30 to 507 of the family's 1533-position model. The record is from RNAcentral.
AUUGAACGCUGGCGGCAUGCCUAACACAUGCAAGUCGAGCGGAUGAAGGGAGCUUGCUCCUGGAUGCAGCGGCGGACGGGUGAGUAAUGCCUAGGAAUCUGCCUGGUCGUGGGGGAUAACGUCCGGAAACGGGCGCUAAUACCGCGUACGUCCUGAGAGAGAAAGUGGGGGAUCUUCGGACCUCACGCUAUCAGAUGAGCCUAGGUCGGAUUAGCUAGUUGGUGGGGUAAAGGCCUACCAAGGCGACGAUCCGUAACUGGUAUGAGAGGAUGACCAGUCACACUGGAACUGAGACACGGUCCAGACUCCUACGGGAGGCAGCAGUGGGGAAUAUUGGACAAUGGGCGAAAGCCUGAUCCAGCCAUGCCGCGUGAGUGAAGAAGGUCUUCGGAUUGUAAAGCACUUUAAGUUGGGAGGAAGGGCAGUAAGUUAAUACCUUGCUGUUUUGACGUUACCAACAGAAUAAGCACCGGCUAACUUCGUG